GAAAAUUAUUCUACAUAAGGCAAAGGUCUCAUUUCAACAUCUCUUCCCUUGCAAAAAAAUCAAAUCUUGUUAACAUGACGGUGUCGAAGAGGGUAGCGGAGAAGAAGGUGGCGAAGUUCGAGAAGAACAUAAGCAGAAGAGGAGGGGCUUCCAACAAGACCGCCUUGGAGCCGUCUCACAUUGUUCUUAUUCUCUUCGUCGUCUUGGCUGUCGCCUCCUUUAUCUUCCAAGUGGUGAGAAUGGCAAUGAAUGGUGGAAAUCCAGAGCAAGACUCUUGAUGUUGAUGAAACCCUCUUUGAACUCAUAAUCUCACUUUUUGUUUGUAUUGAG
Molecule: long non-coding RNA, 330 nt
Organism: Salvia splendens (bonfire salvia)
Lineage: Eukaryota; Viridiplantae; Streptophyta; Magnoliopsida; Lamiales; Lamiaceae
Exons: 3
Source: RefSeq, a predicted model, not a curated record